GGGGUUGUGGCUUAGUGGUAGUGCACUUGUCCAGUAUGCAAGUGGCCCCUGGGUUUAAUUCCCAGCACCA
Non-coding RNA from Ictidomys tridecemlineatus (thirteen-lined ground squirrel), 70 nucleotides. Lineage: Eukaryota; Metazoa; Chordata; Mammalia; Rodentia; Sciuridae. The record is from Rfam.